UAUGCAGAUGCGUGAAACGCAGGAGCAGAUGAUAAACAGUCUGGAUGUAGAAGAGUAGAGACCAAAGUACUACCAGGCAAUGGACAGCGAACUCAUGAAGUCUUGACGUUAUUCUUUGGUUCAACACGUAAAACCGUUAAGGGUGCGGAUAAUCAAAGGACACAGCGAUGAGGUACUGGGGUAGCUGCUUCAAGAUGAGAAGACUGGGAUGCCAAGGACACUUUAAUUGCAGACGGGGAAAUGAGACAGAAAGACCAACCUGAGAUGGCAAAGCGACAGUGAAAACUAGCAAAUCUUUGAAAUUUAGGCGCAGCCCAGGACAGCCUGAGGCCCAAGGUAGCUUAAGACACAGAUACUGGCCUAGUGGGCAAUGGGGAGAAACUGAGGCGGGGGGGAGCGGCUGGAUUCCCAAAUAGGACCAAGCCUAAAACAUUAAAGUCAAGACACAAACCAGCUUUGCAGAGGGACCAGAGGGAGGGCCAAAUACGCAAGACUCAGAAGACCGGCACCCACCCAGACAGGGGGAACCGGUUUGGGCAGGGGCUCCCAAGAGCGGCCCAGCCUGCGCAUGCGCCCUCUCCCCUCCGUCGCAACUCCCCCUCCCCCCAAUCACGGCUCCCCUCAGAACUCGGCCCGUCGAGGGAGCUGAGCGGAGCUCCACUGGCCCGACCCCGCGGGAUGAGAAGACGGCUUGGCUCUCCGCAGGGGCCGUCGAAAAUACCCCUGGGGUUGGUCCGCGACCACGACGAGCGACCCUAUUGGCCCAAUACCGGGAAGCGAGGCGGAGCUUCCUCUUUCCGAGCCCCACCUGGGUUUUCAGCGCGCCUCAGGACUGUGCGCCUGCGCGAAGUGCACAGGCUGUGAGCUGGACUUUGGCUGCGCUCUGUAUCUGGAGUUGGACAGGCGGCCGGGACUGGGGAAUAUGGAAGCGGACUGGGUAGUACCUGUUGAGCCGAACAAAGGGUACAACCUCAGAGUACUGGUGCUUGAGCAAGGAAUCCCCCUGCUCAUCUUUCAUGUGCUGCAAGUCCUGUUUGAAAAUCAGUACUUCACAGCGUAAUAAAAUUCACUUGGCAUUUA
Non-coding RNA from Macaca mulatta (Rhesus monkey), 1080 nucleotides. Lineage: Eukaryota; Metazoa; Chordata; Mammalia; Primates; Cercopithecidae. The record is from RefSeq and is a predicted model, not a curated record.